AGCAGUGCCUUAGCCAGGGACCUGCUUGGCCAGCGACAGAUCCUUUGCUGCUCUGUCUGCCGGUUCUUGAGAUGGAGUCUCUCACUCUGUUGCCCAGGCUGGAGUGUUGUUGAUGGCAACAGUGGGCCAUCUGGACCAUCUGGAGUGGCCACUGCCAAGAUGCUGGCUGCAGCCAGGAGGCUCUGCCCAUGCUGUGAGCUUCACAGAGCCAGAGGGAGCGGGGACAAGCAGGAGCCCAGCUCCUUCCAAGUUGGCGGGUGGGAGCUCCCCAGGCAUAGCUGCAGCUGCCCAAGUCAUGGCUGCUGGCUGAGCCUCCCUGUGUUCUUGGAGACCAGGAGCAGGCAGGAGCCCUGCUCUCCUGGGUGCAACUGCAGCCACCCAAGUCCUUGCUACAGACCGUGUUCUUGGAGGCUGGGAGCAGGCAGGAGUGCCAAAGCAGGCAGGAGUGCUGGAGCAGGCAUGAGCCCUUCCUGCAUCCCCCACCUCCUUUGUGCAGCUGUAGCCACCCAGGUUGUGGCUGCGGACCAACCUGGAUAUCUCUGCACUCUAGGGGCCUGGGAAGGCACCCCCACCUCAGCAGGCUUGGAGGUAUCUGCUUCUGCUGCCUGGCCUCUCCCUGCUCCUGGUGACUGCUCUGAUCUAGGAGCAAGGUUGGGGCCGAGCCAGGGUGCUGUUGCAGCCCAGCCAGUUGUGCGCAUACUUGAGGCAGUGCUGACAGGCCAUUCCUCUGCUGCUUCAGCCCCCUCCAGACUUUGGGUGCUGACAAACAUAGAAGGGAGGCUGAGGGAAGGCUGAAGGCAGUUCAGCAUUUGCCUGCAGGUGCUUGUCCCCACGAACAGCCUGGGCACCAUAGAAAGCAGUAGGAGGCGACAUGCUCUGAGGCAGAAAGGGGCGGGUCCCCAGAAGGCCUGAAGCCUAAUGGCCAGGCCACCAGUCCCCCUGACUGGAGGGGGAACUGGUGGUGCUUUUUCUUGGACCUGCCCAUGGCCACCAAUGGACCAAUCAGCAUGCACUUCUUCCUCUCUGAGGCCCAUAAAAUUCCCUGGACUCAGCCAGACUGGGGGAGAAGACCUGCCAGCAGAGAGGAGCUACCUACUCCAGGGCCUCUUUUCUGCUGAGAGCUGCAGAGACAACAGGAGGACCAACCUGCAGAGAGGAGCUACCCACUUCAGGGCCUCCUCUUUGCUGACAGCUGCAGCGAUGAUGGGACAAGCUGCCUGCAGAGAGGAGCUACCCACUCCAGGGUCUCCUCUGAGCUAUUCUGUUGCUCAGUAAAGCUCCUCCUUCUCAGUAAAGCUCCUCUUCACUUUGCUCAGCCUCCACUUGUCUACAUACCUCAUUCUAUCUGGAUGCAGGACAAGAACUUGAGACCUGCUGAAUGGUGGGGCUGAAAGAGCUGUAACACAAACAGAGCUGAAACAUGCCCCUUGCUCACCACAUUGCAGGCAAAGAGGAGAGAAGAGCUGUGGCCCUUCAGGAAGCCCAGACCAGGAAGCUCCCUGAGCCAGGAUUGUGACUCCCGUUGGGGCCCUGCAUUUCCUGGAGUCUCCAAGCUUCUGGGCACCACUGUGGUGUACUUAGUCCAGUCACAGCCUUGCAGUGAGCCAGGGCCCGUACUGGCACCUGGAGCUGCCCACCCUGCUGCAGCAGCCAGCGUGCCUGACUGUGUGCAGUGGCCAGACCCCACACUCUUUCGCUCACACAUCCCUUGCUACUUCACGCCUGGCUCACCCUUGGCAGGGGCGAGAUACAGGCUGGUAGCAUUAGCCAAGCACAGCCUGCCAGGCUGAGUGGGCAGAACGAUCCCAGUGGGCCCAAGCAAAACUCAGGCAAAGGCACCACUGGCCACAGAGGUUUCUGACUAGAAAAGCAACACCCCAAGUAUCCUGUGACACAGUGGCAUGAUCUCAUCUCAUUGCAACCUCCACCUCCUGGGUUCAAGCUAUUCUUGUGCCUCAGCUUCUGGUGUAGCUGGGGCUACAGGUGCGUGCCACCACAUCUAUCUAAUUUUUGUAUUUUUUUUUUUUUAGUAGAGACGGGGUCUCACCAUGUUGACCAGGCUGGUCUCAAACUCCUGACUUCAGGUGAUCCGCCUGCCUCAGCCUUCCAAAGUGCUGGGAUUUCAGGUGUGGCCUACCAUGCCCAGCCUGUUAUGCCUCUUGAUUGACUCCUUUUUCAUAAUGAAAUGACCUUCUUUAUCCCUGAUAUAUCAGUCAGUGUUCAACCAGAGACACAAAACAAGUAAUUGAAUAUAUGUAUAUGUACAUAUGGAUUUGUUAAAGAGAAUUGGCUUACACAAUUAUGAGAGCUAGUUAGGCACUCUUAUAAUGCUGUUGUGUCUGAUGCUAGAAUUUGAUGUUGGCAGAGUAGUCAGAAAGGAAGAUGGAAGUAAAGUGGGAGAAGUCAAGGUCAGGCUGGAAGUCACAAGUACAAACUUGAACCUCAUGAAAAUGGACUGAAAUCCAUGUUAGUUCUUGUUGCCUUUGACCUUGGUGGUGAGGGUAUCCUUCAGAAGCUGGGGCUGUUUGUCAUAAACACACAUACAUAGGCCAGGAGUUGGAGAAGCUGAAGGAGGAUCUAGAGGAUGGUAGAGUAGUUGCAGGCCAAGCUGCUACAAAAUGAGUCAACAAAGUGAGUCACCAGUCAGCAACAACAUAUGUGAACUACAAAUGGCUACUAUUUCCUUUCCACAUUACACAUCUCCCAAAAAUUGCCUUUUUGGCCCGCCCAAACUGUAAACAUAAAAUAAAUAAUUCUAGGAAAACUGGUGCACUUUAAGCAAGAUGACACAUUAUAAAAGCAUCAUGGUCUGCCCCUUGUCAACUUAGUACCAUACAUGUUUCUUUAAGCCAUACUUUAAUUCUCCAAAUUAUGAUAACAAUGAAGUUGUGCUUUCACCUUACAUAACACUACUAUCACAUAACUAUUAACAUGCUAACCAUUUCCCAAAAGAGGAAAAUAGUCUUUUUGUUGGUCCAUGAAUGGCAUUCAUUCUGCUCCCAGAUGAUAACCCUCCUUCUUUCAUAUCCUAUAACUUAAAUACUGACAUAUAAAGUUAACUAUUAACACAUAUUGUGUUAGAUGAUAAGAUGAGAGAAGGAAGAAACAUAAAUUUUCAAGUAGUUUCCAAAAGAAGCUGGGUGUAUAUCAUUGCCCACCAGAAUGUUCUUCUUGAAUUCAACUAGACUUUUAGACCUUCAAGACUACUGCAGAUCACCCUUGGCAUCAGAUUAACUUAGAAGGAUAGGACAGAAGCCACAGCUGACCAGUAGGCAGCACCUACCCCUCUUCGGUGGUAGUGGUACUCACAGUAUUUUACACAAGCAUGCAGGGUUUUUUUUUUUUUUUGGCCUUCCCAUUCCAAGUUGACAGCUCAGAUGCAAGGAGAUGAGACUUACAUUGGGAACCUGUGGGAUGCAUCUGGAUUAGAAACUUCCACAGGAGCUAAUAUGUCUUAUAGCAACUCCAUGGACAUAGCUUCUAGAAUUUCUGUAAGAGACAUGCCAAUUACAAGAGUCACUAUACUCAGGGAGGCCCAAAGUUAUAGUAUCCAUUAGCAUAGUCAAUAUUUAUAGUUCAUUUAUAAUUCUUUUGGUAAUCAGGAAACAUUUUUACCAUAAACAAUAUUGUUGGGUAACAUAAUUGACCUAUUAAUAAGUUUUCAAUAAAACAGAAUGAGAAAAUUAACCAAAGGUUAAUUCUCAUGUACAAAGGUAAAGUGUUUUGUUAACCUUUUACCCAAAAGUGAUGAUAUGAAUGUAGAUUUUUUUGGGUGUUUGACCAAGGAAGCCAAACCAUUCUUUCAGAUUAUGUUAGAUUUGUAGCUUUGUGGAGUGUUGCCAGAGAUGUUGCUUUCUGUGUGUGAGUUUGAUGAGCUAACCUGGAGUUUGUUUGUUGGACUGGCCAAAACAAAUCUGAGCCAACUAUGGUCCAUAUCAGCUGACACUGAAGAAGUUCCUCUCAAUGAAGUAAAUGGAAUUGAAGGGUUUCCAGAGAGAUUAGCAGUGAUAAUACAGGCAUGGGAAGUGAUAUAAAAUUCUCAAGAAUGAAACUGAUAGGCCACCACCAAUAUUCUACCUGAAUUCUAUUUCUCAUUUCACUUGGGGGAAACUAGGUCAAACUAACAUGUGUACUAAUAUAUGUCUAACUUAGGCAUACGCUCUAGAGCAGUGAUUCUCAAUCUUUUUGAGAUAGUAAAUUUAUUUGAGAAAAGGAUGAAAACUGCAGACUUCUUCCUCAGAUAAAUGAACAUAAAGACCUACAUGUGGACUUUUGCUUAUCAUGUAUUGUAUUGGAAAUUAAUUUUCUUUGAUACUUAGACUGUGUAAACAAUUUUCACAAGGAAGGGAUUUCAAUUUAAAAAUCAAUUUCCAGUUCUGGGG
This is a long non-coding RNA of Homo sapiens (human), 4382 nucleotides long. The record is from Ensembl. Lineage: Eukaryota; Metazoa; Chordata; Mammalia; Primates; Hominidae.